Molecule: ribosomal RNA, 2185 nt
Filed under: Campylobacter jejuni
Lineage: Bacteria; Pseudomonadati; Campylobacterota; Epsilonproteobacteria; Campylobacterales; Campylobacteraceae
Description: partial 23S ribosomal RNA
Rfam family: Bacterial large subunit ribosomal RNA
Source: RNAcentral
AGGUAAGCUACUAAGAGCGAAUGGUGGAUGCCUUGACUGGUAAAGGCGAUGAAGGACGUACUAGACUGCGAUAAGCUACGGGGAGCUGUCAAGAAGCUUUGAUCCGUAGAUUUCCGAAUGGGGCAACCCAAUGUAUAGAGAUAUACAUUACCUAUAUAGGAGCGAACGAGGGGAAUUGAAACAUCUUAGUACCCUCAGGAAAAGAAAUCAAUAGAGAUUGCGUCAGUAGCGGCGAGCGAAAGCGCAAGAGGGCAAACCCAGUGCUUGCACUGGGGGUUGUAGGACUGCAAUGUGCAAGAGCUGAGUUUAGCAGAACAUUCUGGAAAGUAUAGCCAUAGAGGGUGAUAGUCCCGUAUGCGAAAAACAAAGCUUAGCUAGCAGUAUCCUGAGUAGGGCGGGACACGAGGAAUCCUGUCUGAAUCCGGGUCGACCACGAUCCAACCCUAAAUACUAAUACCAGAUCGAUAGUGCACAAGUACCGUGAGGGAAAGGUGAAAAGAACUGAGGUGAUCAGAGUGAAAUAGAACCUGAAACCAUUUGCUUACAAUCAUUCAGAGCACUAUGUAGCAAUACAGUGUGAUGGACUGCCUUUUGCAUAAUGAGCCUGCGAGUUGUGGUGUCUGGCAAGGUUAAGCAAACGCGAAGCCGUAGCGAAAGCGAGUCUGAAUAGGGCGCUUAGUCAGAUGCUGCAGACCCGAAACGAAGUGAUCUAUCCAUGAGCAAGUUGAAGCUAGUGUAAGAACUAGUGGAGGACUGAACCCAUAGGCGUUGAAAAGCCCCGGGAUGACUUGUGGAUAGGGGUGAAAGGCCAAUCAAACUUCGUGAUAGCUGGUUCUCUCCGAAAUAUAUUUAGGUAUAGCGUUGUGUCGUAAUAUAAGGGGGUAGAGCACUGAAUGGGCUAGGGCAUACACCAAUGUACCAAACCCUAUCAAACUCCGAAUACCUUAUAUGUAAUCACAGCAGUCAGGCGGCGAGUGAUAAAAUCCGUCGUCAAGAGGGAAACAACCCAGACUACCAGCUAAGGUCCCUAAAUCUUACUUAAGUGGAAAACGAUGUGAAGUUACUUAAACAACCAGGAGGUUGGCUUAGAAGCAGCCAUCCUUUAAAGAAAGCGUAAUAGCUCACUGGUCUAGUGAUUUUGCGCGGAAAAUAUAACGGGGCUAAAGUAAGUACCGAAGCUGUAGACUUGCACACAACUUAGAUUAUUUAAGUUUAGAAUAAGUAGUUUAAGUUGUGUGCAAGUGGUAGGAGAGCGUUCUAUUUGCGUCGAAGGUAUACCGGUAAGGAGUGCUGGAGCGAAUAGAAGUGAGCAUGCAGGCAUGAGUAGCGAUAAUUAAUGUGAGAAUCAUUAACGCCGUAAACCCAAGGUUUCCUACGCGAUGCUCGUCAUCGUAGGGUUAGUCGGGUCCUAAGUCGAGUCCGAAAGGGGUAGACGAUGGCAAAUUGGUUAAUAUUCCAAUACCAACAUUAGUGUGCGAUGGAAGGACGCUUAGGGCUAAGGGGGCUAGCGGAUGGAAGUGCUAGUCUAAGGUCGUAGGAGGUUAUACAGGCAAAUCCGUAUAACAAUACUCCGAGAACUGAAAGGCUUUUUGAAGUCUUCGGAUGGAUAGAAGAACCCCUGAUGCCGUCGAGCCAAGAAAAGUUUCUAAGUUUAGCUAAUGUUGCCCGUACCGUAAACCGACACAGGUGGGUGGGAUGAGUAUUCUAAGGCGCGUGGAAGAACUCUCUUUAAGGAACUCUGCAAAAUAGCACCGUAUCUUCGGUAUAAGGUGUGGUUAGCUUCGUACUAGGAUUUACUCCGAAAGCGAAGAAACUUACAACAAAGAGUCCCUCCCGACUGUUUACCAAAAACACAGCACUCUGCUAACUCGUAAGAGGAUGUAUAGGGUGUGACGCCUGCCCGGUGCUCGAAGGUUAAUUGAUGGGGUUAGCAUUAGCGAAGCUCUUGAUCGAAGCCCGAGUAAACGGCGGCCGUAACUAUAACGGUCCUAAGGUAGCGAAAUUCCUUGUCGGUUAAAUACCGACCUGCAUGAAUGGCGUAACGAGAUGGGAGCUGUCUCAAAGAGGGAUCCAGUGAAAUUGUAGUGGAGGUGAAAAUUCCUCCUACCCGCGGCAAGACGGAAAGACCCCGUGGACCUUUACUACAGCUUGACACUGCUACUUGGAUAAGAAUGUGCAGGAUAGG